Molecule: ribosomal RNA, 570 nt
Filed under: Acanthamoeba genotype T4
Lineage: Eukaryota; Discosea; Longamoebia; Acanthamoebidae
Description: SSU rRNA
Rfam family: Eukaryotic small subunit ribosomal RNA
Source: RNAcentral
UUAAACCCCUUAACGAGUAACAAUUGGAGGGCAAGUCUGGUGCCAGCAGCCGCGGUAAUUCCAGCUCCAAUAGCGUAUAUUAAAGUUGUUGCAGUUAAAAAGCUCGUAGUUGGAUCUAGGGACGCGCAUUUCAAGCGCCCGUGUCGUCGGGUCAAACCGGCGACUGCGUUGGCGUUGCGGGCUCGGUCCGUCGGUGCCACUAAAAGCACUGGCGUGUCAACCGGCCCGCCCGUCCCCUCCUUCUGGAUUCCCGUUCCUGCUAUUGAGUUAGUGGGGACGUCACAGGGGGCUCAUCGUCGUCAUGCAAAUGGCGGCGGUGGGUCCCUGGGGCCCAGAUCGUUUACCGUGAAAAAAUUAGAGUGUUCAAAGCAGGCAGAUCCAAUUCUCUGCCACCGAAUACAUUAGCAUGGGAUAAUGGAAUAGGACCCUGUCCUCCUAUUUUCAGUUGGUUUUGGCAGCGCGAGGACUAGGGUAAUGAUUAAUAGGGAUAGUUGGGGGCAUUAAUAUUUAAUUGUCAGAGGUGAAAUUCUUGGAUUUAUGAAAGAUUAACUUCUGCGAAAGCAUUUUGCC